GUAUUUUCCUAUGCAGGAUCCUCCUACAAUAAUCUGAGUGAGAGAGGGAGCAGACGAUUCGGAGCUGAGGGAACAGCGGCACUCCGUGCGCCAUCUCAAAUUCCGGGGCGGGACGAGCCAAGUGUGGUCCUACACCCGACAAAGAGAUCUGAGGGGCGUCUGGCUGGAGCACCACCAGAUAACCUUCUAGCUGUUUCAGAGAGAGGCAGCCAUCCUCGCUGGAACAUCUGCAGAAACACAUGUGUCCAAUUGCCCGAUUGCAUCAUGCUUCCUCUCCACCAAUGCCGAUCCCUGCUCUGAUUGAGGAGAACAAAGCUAACCCACGCCCCCUCCGACACGUGGGCAGCAUGCCGUAUGCAUCUUAUCACCUACACUCUUAUCACCAGCACUGUGUACGGAGAGACACACUCUGAGAGCACUCUUUUCUCGUCUCUGUGCAAGCGCCAUCAAUCAGCCAGCAGAGGUCGUAAUUGCAUUAGUUAUGAGAGAGAGAGACCUUAUGCGGCUUAAUCCCACCCAUAUCUGAACAACAGGCCAAUCGUUGUUCAUGUGGCCGCUCAGCCUAGCCGGCAGGCAGAGCAGAGAUUUGAUACAAUGUACUCAAGAUCCCAGCUCUGGUUCCAGCAUGUGUUUUUACUGCUGUGCCACCUGAGCGUCCAUCUUAAUAAAUAAUUUUGAAACAAGCACAAAUGAAUGUGCUUGUUUCAGCAAGACACAGCCAAGCCACACAAUUCAAGUGUCUCAGCAUUGUGGCUUUUUAGUAAGAGAGUGCAGGUGAUAGACUGGUCUGCCUGCAGUCCAGACCUGUCUCCAACUAAAAAUGAAGCACAAUAUUUAAAAACGCUGUCCCGAGACUAUUUUAUAUUUUUGUUUUUAUGCAUUGUCUCCCCUUCUUUAUCCAAUUACCCAAUUGCAUUACGCUUCCUCUCAACUGAUGCCGAUCCCCGGCCUGAUUGAGGAGAGUGAGACUGACACACGUCCCCUCCAACACGUGUGCAGUAGCCAACUGCGAGUUUAUGUGGAUCAGCUUUGUGUACGGAAAGCCACACCCUGAUUAACGCAUUAUUCCUCAACUCUGUGCAGGUAGCAGAGGCCAGCAGAGGUCGUAACUGCCUCAGUUAUGAGGAGUCCCUAUCCGGUUUCCCACCCUGUAUGAACAACAGCCAAUCGUUGUUCAUGUAAGCGCCCAGCCCAGCCUAAUAGCAGAGCUGAGGUUUGAAAUGUAAGCUCUGGUGUGCUAGUGUGUUUUAUCUCUGCACCACCUGUGUCCCGAGACUAUUAAAAAAUAAAAAUUACGGAAUGUAGCAGUGGUAAUAAUUUUAUAGCCAUCAAAUUAAGA
Molecule: long non-coding RNA, 1339 nt
Organism: Trichomycterus rosablanca
Lineage: Eukaryota; Metazoa; Chordata; Actinopteri; Siluriformes; Trichomycteridae
Exons: 4
Source: RefSeq, a predicted model, not a curated record